UGACUGAGGCUUUCUUUAGUACGAAAGGACCAAGAAAGCAGGACCAAUACUAACCGCACGUCCUCAUAGCAAAGUUGAAAACAACUCAAACUACUCCUCACCAGCCCAACCGAAGACAACGGUUUUGUUAGGGUGGCAGAGCCAAGCAUUGCAAAAGACCUAAGAUCUUUCUAACAGAAGUGCAAAUCUUCUUCCUAACC
RNAcentral lists this unclassified non-coding RNA (200 nucleotides) under Oplurus cuvieri. RNAcentral describes it as "partial contains 16S ribosomal RNA and tRNA-Leu". The record is from RNAcentral. Lineage: Eukaryota; Metazoa; Chordata; Lepidosauria; Squamata.